RNAcentral lists this ribosomal RNA (365 nucleotides) under Bufotes viridis (European green toad). Its description in RNAcentral is "partial 12S ribosomal RNA". It matches the Rfam family "Bacterial small subunit ribosomal RNA", at positions 870 to 1403 of the family's 1533-position model. The record is from RNAcentral. Lineage: Eukaryota; Metazoa; Chordata; Amphibia; Anura; Bufonidae.
CGCCCGGGAACUACGAGCUAAGCUUAAAACCCAAAGGACUUGACGGUACCCCAUAUCCCCCUAGAGGAGCCUGUCCUAUAAUCGAUAAUCCACGUUUAACCUCACCGCUUCUAGUUAAUCAGCCUGUAUACCUCCGUCGUCAGCUUACCACGUGAGCGUAAAUUAGUGAGCCCAAUGUUAUUUCACCAACACGUCAGGUCAAGGUGCAGCAAAUGAAGUGGGAAGAGAUGGGCUACACUUUCUAUUUUAGAAGAAACGAAAAACUACUUAUGAAACCUAGUUAGAAGGCGGAUUUAGCAGUAAAAAGAAAUCAGCAUGUUCAUUUUAACCCGGCACUGGGGUGUGUACACACCGCCCGUCACCCU